Chrysoperla carnea is the source of this 77-nucleotide long non-coding RNA. RefSeq lists it as uncharacterized. The transcript is spliced from 4 exons. NCBI's taxonomy places the organism in Eukaryota, Metazoa, Arthropoda, Insecta, Neuroptera, Chrysopidae. The record is from RefSeq and is a predicted model, not a curated record.
AAAAAUUAAAAAGAAAUAAAAAGUACGAUAAUUACGAAUAUACACGAUGUCUCGAAGAGUCAUAUAAAUUUUGAACU